CACUCCUACGGGAGGCAGCAGUGGGGAAUAUUGGACAAUGGGCGCAAGCCUGAUCCAGCCAUGCCGCGUGAGUGAUGAAGGCCCUAGGGUUGUAAAGCUCUUUCACCGGUGAAGAUAAUGACGGUAACCGGAGAAGAAGCCCCGGCUAACUUCGUGCCAGCAGCCGCGGUAAUACGAAGGGGGCUAGCGUUGUUCGGAUUUACUGGGCGUAAAGCGCACGUAGGCGGACUAUUAAGUCAGGGGUGGAAUCCCGGGGCUCAACCCCGGAACUGCCUUUGAUACUGGUAGUCUUGAGUUCGAGAGAGGUGAGUGGAAUUCCGAGUGUAGAGGUGAAAUUCGUAGAUAUUCGGAGGAACACCAGUGGCGAAGGCGGCUCACUGGCUCGAUACUGACGCUGAGGUGCGAAAGCGUGGGGAGCAAACAGGAUUAGAAACCCCUGUAGUCCCAUG
RNAcentral lists this ribosomal RNA (449 nucleotides) under uncultured organism. RNAcentral's name for it is "partial 16S ribosomal RNA". It matches the Rfam family "Bacterial small subunit ribosomal RNA", at positions 334 to 799 of the family's 1533-position model. The record is from RNAcentral.